Molecule: non-coding RNA, 503 nt
Filed under: Streptococcus pyogenes
Lineage: Bacteria; Bacillati; Bacillota; Bacilli; Lactobacillales; Streptococcaceae
Source: RNAcentral
GCAUCGAUUUACUGCCAUUAUCUAUCUGAUAAAAUGAAAUCAAGGCUUGAGCAGGUAGGUAGUAAGUCUCCUUCAGUGUGGAAAAGUGAAGAAGGACAAAGCAGAUUCCUUUUUGAUGUAAAACGCAAGCCAUAUGUUCAAUCUGAUGUAAAUGGAAAUUUUUCAUGGGCAUAGCUGUUUUUUGCCUGGUUUCUUUUGCUUCAAAAUCAACAUAAUGUCCUUUAUAAACGCCGCAAUAGUCAGUCGUUGAAGCUUGUCUAAAGUACGCUUCAACGAUUUUUGCCCGACUGCGUUUAGGGUAAUCCACUUUGACAAUUUGGACAGGAGUAGGUUUUUUGUGAAUGACAGCUAUUUGACGAGAUAAAUAAUAAUCAUUUGUCGCGUUGAUAGCAGCUUCAAAGGACAUACCUCUAUUGGCGAAGUCCACCUUAUUUUGCUUUUGAACGGAACUUACUUUUUGUCGAAUAAGAUUAUGAGGAUAAUUAACCAUUGUUCUCCUAAUA